UAACAAGGUUUCCGUAGGUGAACCUGCGGAAGGAUCAUUGUCGAAACCUGCCCAGCAGAACGACCCGCGAACCAGUUCUCCGACGCACGCCGGGCGGCCCUCGCGCCCCCGGCGAGCCGCGGGGAGCGGGCCCGUGCGGCCCCUCCCCUCGGCUCACGAACAAAACCCCGGCGCGGGACGCGCCAAGGAACACGAGAAAAAGAGCACGCACCGUCGGCCCGGGAACGGGGCGCGGGGCGCGUCUUCUUUCGCUAUUACGAGCAAAGAGA
This 269-nucleotide ribosomal RNA is filed under the name Casearia arborea. The record is from RNAcentral. Lineage: Eukaryota; Viridiplantae; Streptophyta; Magnoliopsida; Malpighiales; Salicaceae.